CCUACGGGAGGCAGCAGUAGGGAAUCUUUCACAAUGGGCGAAAGCCUGAUGGAGCAACGCCGCGUGCAGGGUGAAGGCCUUCGGGUUGUAAACUGCUUUUAUAAGCGAGAAAUAUGAUGGUAACUUAUGAAUAAGGAUCGGCUAACUACGUGCCAGCAGCCGCGGUCAUACGUAGGAUCCGAGCAUUAUCCGGAGUGACUGGGUGUAAAGAGUUGCGUAGGUGGCAUAAUAAGUAGCUAGUGAAAUCUGGUGGCUCAACCAUUCAGACUAUUAGCUAAACUGUUAAGCUCGAGACCGUUAGGGGUAACUGGAAUUUCUAGUGUAGGAGUGAAAUCCGUAGAUAUUAGAAGGAACACCAAUAGCGUAGGCAGGUUGCUGGGACGGUUCUGACACUAAGGCACGAAAGCGUAGGGAGCAAACGGGAUUAGAUACCCCAGUAGUC
This 442-nucleotide ribosomal RNA is filed under the name uncultured bacterium. Its description in RNAcentral is "partial 16S ribosomal RNA". It matches the Rfam family "Bacterial small subunit ribosomal RNA", at positions 338 to 795 of the family's 1533-position model. The record is from RNAcentral.